RNAcentral lists this ribosomal RNA (253 nucleotides) under uncultured bacterium. RNAcentral's name for it is "partial 16S ribosomal RNA". It matches the Rfam family "Bacterial small subunit ribosomal RNA", at positions 524 to 776 of the family's 1533-position model. The record is from RNAcentral.
UACGUAGGGGGCAAGCGUUGUCCGGAUUUAUUGGGCGUAAAGAGCGUGUAGGCGGCCAGGUAGGUCAGCUGUGAAAACUCGAGGCUCAACCUCGAGACGUCGGUUGAAACCACCUGGCUAGAGUCCGGAAGAGGAGAGUGGAAUUCCUGGUGUAGCGGUGAAAUGCGCAGAUAUCAGGAAGAACACCCGUGGCGAAGGCGGCUCACUGGCCCGGUACUGACGCUGAGGCGCGAAAGCGUGGGGAGCAAACAGG